CAAAGGUCUGGACCACAUCUCAGCUUCUCUUCACCUCCUGGAGCAGAUCUCUAAUAAAGGAGUCUCGGGUUGUUGUCCAUUACCAUCAAUGAGGCUCAUCCUGCAUGCUGUUGCUGGAACCAUCUUCUGUAAACACUGCUUUUAUCGCUUCCCACCCCUGCGGAGGAGCCCUCUGUGGUUAGAAGAUCAACACAACACACUCCAGCCUGUUAUUACAGCGUCGUGCUGCUGCCUCCUGAUUUCCUCUCUGCUGUCCAAGUGGUCUCCUCUUUCCUCCUCCACCUUCAUAGCUACUGCCUCUGUGCGCUGGGCGUGGCUGCAGGUCUGUCCCCAAUUCCCUCUUAAAAGCAUCACUUGCUUUAAGAAUUAAAUUGAAAUGAGCCGCACUUCCUUCAAAGAGCCUCUACCGGCAGC
Molecule: long non-coding RNA, 414 nt
Filed under: Fukomys damarensis (Damara mole-rat)
Lineage: Eukaryota; Metazoa; Chordata; Mammalia; Rodentia; Bathyergidae
Description: lncRNA (ENSFDAG00000033636.1)
Source: RNAcentral